Molecule: transfer RNA, 89 nt
Filed under: Echria macrotheca
Lineage: Eukaryota; Fungi; Ascomycota; Sordariomycetes; Sordariales; Schizotheciaceae
Description: tRNA-Phe
Rfam family: tRNA
About the family: Transfer RNA (tRNA) molecules are approximately 80 nucleotides in length. Their secondary structure includes four short double-helical elements and three loops (D, anti-codon, and T loops).
Source: RNAcentral
GCAGCUUUAGCUCAUUUGGGAGAGCGUCAGACUGAAGUAAACUUCAAUCAUAAAUCUGAAGGCACUGUGUUCGAUCCACAGAAGCUGCA